RNAcentral lists this ribosomal RNA (252 nucleotides) under uncultured bacterium. Its description in RNAcentral is "partial 16S ribosomal RNA". It matches the Rfam family "Bacterial small subunit ribosomal RNA", at positions 524 to 776 of the family's 1533-position model. The record is from RNAcentral.
UACGUUGGCGGCAAGCGUUGUCCGGAAUUAUUGGGCGUAAAGCGCGCGCAGGUGGGAUCUUAAGUCCAUUUUGAAAGUUCGGAGCUUAACUCCGUGAUGGGAUGGAAACUGGGAUUCUUGAGUACCGGAGAGGAAAGCGGAAUUCCCCGUGUAGCGGUGAAAUGCGUAGAUAUGGGGAGGAACACCAGUGGCGAAGGCGGCUUUCUGGACGGUGUCUGACACUGAGGCGCGAAAGCUAGGGGAGCGAACGGG